RNAcentral lists this ribosomal RNA (293 nucleotides) under uncultured bacterium. RNAcentral describes it as "partial 16S ribosomal RNA". It matches the Rfam family "Archaeal small subunit ribosomal RNA", at positions 455 to 747 of the family's 1478-position model. The record is from RNAcentral.
GUGCCAGCCGCCGCGGUAAUACCGGUAGCCCGAGUGAUGGCCGCUAUUAUUGGGCCUAAAGCGUUCGUAGCCGGCCGGACAAGUCCGUUGGGAAAUCCACGCGCUCAACGCGUGGGCGUCCAGCGGAAACUAUCCGGCUUGGGGCCGGAAGACUCGAGGGGUACGUCCGGGGUAGGAGUGAAAUCCCGUAAUCCUGGACGGACCACCGGUGGCGAAAGCGCCUCGAGAAGACGGACCCGACGGUGAGGAACGAAAGCCAGGGUCUCGAACCGGAUUAGAAACCCGGGUAGUCC